RNAcentral lists this ribosomal RNA (253 nucleotides) under uncultured bacterium. RNAcentral describes it as "partial 16S ribosomal RNA". It matches the Rfam family "Bacterial small subunit ribosomal RNA", at positions 524 to 776 of the family's 1533-position model. The record is from RNAcentral.
UACGUAGGGGGCAAGCGUUGUCCGGAUUCAUUGGGCGUAAAGAGCGCGUAGGCGGCCAGGUAGGUCGGUUGUGAAAACUGGAGGCUCAACCUUCAGAGGUCGAUCGAAACCAUCUGGCUAGAGUCCGGGAGAGGAGAGUGGAAUUCCUGGUGUAGCGGUGAAAUGCGCAGAUAUCAGGAAGAACACCCGUGGCGAAGGCGGCUCUCUGGAACGGUACUGACGCUGAGACGCGAAAGCGUGGGGAGCGAACAGG